AACGAACGCUGGCGGCAUGCCUAACACAUGCAAGUCGAACGAGACCUUCGGGUCUAGUGGCGCACGGGUGCGUAACGCGUGGGAACCUGCCCUUAGGUUCGGAAUAACUCCCCGAAAGGGGUGCUAAUACCGGAUAAUGUCUUCGGACCAAAGAUUUAUCGCCUUUGGAUGGGCCCGCGUUGGAUUAGCUAGUUGGUAGGGUAAAAGCCUACCAAGGCGACGAUCCAUAGCUGGUCUGAGAGGAUGAUCAGCCACACAGGGACUGAGACACGGCCCAGACUCCUACGGGAGGCAGCAGUGGGGAAUAUUGGACAAUGGGCGAAAGCCUGAUCCAGCAAUGCCGCGUGAGUGAUGAAGGCCUUAGGGUUGUAAAGCUCUUUUACCCGGGAUGAUAAUGACAGUACCGGGAGAAUAAGCUCCGGCUAACUCCGUG
This 433-nucleotide ribosomal RNA is filed under the name uncultured bacterium. RNAcentral's name for it is "partial 16S ribosomal RNA". It matches the Rfam family "Bacterial small subunit ribosomal RNA", at positions 29 to 507 of the family's 1533-position model. The record is from RNAcentral.